GUUGAAACACCAGUUCCCGUACGAUCAUCGAAGUGAAGCAACGUCGAGCCUGAUCAGUACCUAGAUGGGUGACCGCUUGAGAAUGCCAGGUACAGU
Molecule: non-coding RNA, 96 nt
Organism: Acanthosepion pharaonis
Lineage: Eukaryota; Metazoa; Mollusca; Cephalopoda; Sepiida; Sepiidae
Source: the annotation of a GenBank genome assembly